CUCAGAUCCACACCUCGCACCUGUCAGUGCCCCGCCCCGUCCUGCCCAGUCCCAGGGGAUCGACAGCGCCCGCCCGGGGCCUCUCCCAACCCCAGCGCCGUCCUCCGCGCGGCUCCCACUUGCUGCCCCCUCGCCACCACCCGUGCCCCUCGGCUCCCUGGGUCUUCAGAGGUCCCCCUCUCCUCCUCCCAAGCCCGCAGUUCCCUCCCCUCCCUUCCCCUCUCCUCCUCUGCUGCUGAGCGACUUUUCCUGCUCCCUUGCAUUCUCACGCAGGCCGUUAAGGAAUAGAAACACAAGACAAAAAUUUCCUACCUAUUUCCUCUGUAAAAUGGGCAUGGAAGAUUAG
Molecule: long non-coding RNA, 346 nt
Filed under: Monodon monoceros (narwhal)
Lineage: Eukaryota; Metazoa; Chordata; Mammalia; Artiodactyla; Monodontidae
Description: lncRNA (ENSMMNG00015020875.1)
Source: RNAcentral